Molecule: ribosomal RNA, 460 nt
Filed under: uncultured bacterium
Lineage: Bacteria
Description: partial 16S ribosomal RNA
Rfam family: Bacterial small subunit ribosomal RNA
Source: RNAcentral
CCUACGGGUGGCUGCAGUGAGGAAUAUUGGUCAAUGGGCGCGAGCCUGAACCAGCCAAGCAGCGUGAAGGAUGACUGCCCUACGGGUUGUAAACUUCUUUUAUAAAGGAAUAAAGUGAGGCACGUGUGCCUUUUUGCAUGUACUUUAUGAAUAAGGAUCGGCUAACUCCGUGCCAGCAGCCGCGGUAAUACGGAGGAUCCGAGCGUUAUCCGGAUUUAUUGGGGUUAAAGGGUGCGUAGAUGGGUUGUUAAGUCAGUGGUGAAAGUUUGCGGCUCAACCGUAAAAUUGCAAUUGAUACUGGCAGAAUUGAGUACAGGUGAGGUAGGCGGAAUGCGUGGUGUAGCGGUGAAAUGCAUAGAUAUCACGCAGAACUCCGAUUGCGAAGGCAGCUUACUAAACUGACACUGACAUUGAUGCUCGAAAGUGUGGGGAUCGAACAGGAUUAGAUACCCGGGUAGUC